CUCCCUCUUCUUAUGCGCGUGCGCCCGCUAUAGUCCCGCCCCCAAAAUCCCGUGGGCCCCUGCGAGGUGGUAUUUAAGUGUCUAGCUGUGCACCUUCGGUCUCGUUUUCUUCCUGCUGUACCGGGGUUCAGGCGCCCGAUUGAACGCUGAAGACUCGAAAAGAUCCCUCCUGUUGUUAAGAAGGUGGUUCAGCUCAAAAGAGAUUGCGGGUUGGAGGAUGGGACAAGACCUACUCCUGUGCGAAUCGAGCACCGCAGUGAUGCUCCAGCAUCUUCUCACCAAUUCUGAGGAAUUCAGCUGCCUCCCAGGAUGAUGAAUACAGCUUGUUCUUGGAAUGAUUUUCCUGGGGAGAGAGAGCAACCCGGCAGCACAGUUGGUUCUUGUGAGGGUGUGCUCUUCCCUCAUCCACAUGUCACUGUCAGAUGAUUUGAAUUGAUAUGCUGAUCCUCCGUGAGGUACGACAGUUAAUAGCAUGUUAGAGUUCUGAUGGCAGUUUCUGUUAAUGGAGAGAUUUAUUCCAUCGUUUAUUUUUUUAAUAACCAUGUGCUUCCCUUUCACAGGUUGUCCAGAUUAUAAAUUCAUCUGUGUUCCGUGAUGUUUCUUGAUCUCGUGCCUCUCCUAGAUGCCCUGUGAUCUGCCCCAGGUCGACUCCUGUAAAGAGUGGAGAGUGGAGCACCUUGUUUGUGUAUACUACUGGAAAGCCUCCAGAAUUGAAAGGUGCUGUUACCAGUAACCUGCUUUUUUGCUCGAAGGUCCAGCACCUUGUCGGGAGCCCAAGAAUGAUUUGAGCGAAAGCAUAUGCCAUAUUUCUGCUCAACUCCAGUCUGAAGUUAGAGGACUGAAGAAAGAUCAAAGCGCAUAAAAUGGAAUCCAGCUCUUGGAGGACAUCGGAAAGGGAAUUUUCAAGUUGUUUCUUGUACAACCUAGCUAUUCAAAUUGGCAUAUAGGAACAUUUCAGCCUUUCUAAAUAAAAAGGGUUUUUUUAAUCGUCA
This is a non-coding RNA of Equus caballus (horse), 992 nucleotides long. Lineage: Eukaryota; Metazoa; Chordata; Mammalia; Perissodactyla; Equidae. The record is from RefSeq and is a predicted model, not a curated record.